GCGACGGCGGAUUGACAGAAGUAUGAUUGGAGAGCCCACAAACUUUGUGCAUACAGCUCAUGUUGGAUCAGGAGACCUGUUCAGUGGAAUGAAUUCAGUUAGCUCCAUUCAGAACCAAAUGCAGUCCAAGGGAGGUUAUGGAGGUGGAAUGCCUGCCAAUGUCCAGAUGCAGCUCGUGGAUACGAAGGCGGGAUAGCCCUGGUCCUUUCUCCAGGUUAUUGUGAAUUUCUAUAUUUUCUCUGUCCACUAUUCUGUAAUUUUUUUUUGUCCUGUGAUUGCUUUUAUUUUGAAUUACAAAAAAGAAGUGUGAUGGCACCUUGUCCACCCUGUCGUGAUUAUUCCAGUGAGAUGUUACUGUUCUGCUCUGAAGAAGAUACUGUCAGACGAAUCCUGCAUUUCCUUCAGCUGGCAUGCAUGCCUUUGGACUCAUGGACAGAGUUCUUUGGAUUGUCACUGAAUUUUCAAUGUUUAAUCAGUAUGGAUCUGAUCUUCGCAUGAUCUUUUUUGUGAAUGCUAACACCAUUUUGCAGUUUUUUUUUUCUAUUUUAAACAUUUUUCUUUUCACUGCCGACCCCCUGCCUUACGAUUUUAUUGGAAAGCAAGGACCUGCUAUUAUUUGUUAAUUUGCCAUCAUUUAUGUAUAUUUUGGAAGGUAUGAGACCCACAAGCACAAUGAUCAUUUUUAUUUGUUUGUUUGUUUGAAACUUCAGCAGAAUAGAUAUCUGCAUGCUUUAUGAAGUUGUUGCUUCGGUAAGAGCCCAUGGGAUGCCAGAAAUUAACAUUUCUUUGCUGCCAUGGGCUGAUGAUGCUGCUAUUAGAUAAAGUUUAGCUGUGGCACCAAGUCACAUCAUUUUCAUAGAAAAAGAUUACUUGUAGCUUAUUUUAGAAGUAUGACCUUUUGGUCUGUUUGAUUGAUUGAUUAGAAUUGCAAUAAAAGAAAAGCUUGCAUUCAUAAGGC
This 958-nucleotide long non-coding RNA is filed under the name Homo sapiens (human). Its description in RNAcentral is "long non-coding RNA NONHSAT203202.1". The record is from RNAcentral. Lineage: Eukaryota; Metazoa; Chordata; Mammalia; Primates; Hominidae.